CAGCAGCCGCGGUAAUACGUAGGUGGCAAGCGUUGUCCGGAAUUAUUGGGCGUAAAGCGCGCGCAGGCGGUUUCUUAAGUCUGAUGUGAAAGCCCACGGCUCAACCGUGGAGGGUCAUUGGAAACUGGGAAACUUGAGUGCAGAAGAGGAGAGCGGAAUUCCACGUGUAGCGGUGAAAUGCGUAGAGAUGUGGAGGAACACCAGUGGCGAAGGCGGCUCUCUGGUCUGUAACUGACGCUGAGGCGCGAAAGCGUGGGGAGCGAACAGGAUUAGAUACCCUGGUAGUCCACGCCGUAAACGAUGAGUGCUAAGUGUUGGAGGGUUUCCGCCCUUCAGUGCUGCAGCUAACGCAUUAAGCACUCCGCCUGGGGAGUACGGUCGCAAGACUGAAACUCAAAGGAAUUGAC
Molecule: ribosomal RNA, 407 nt
Filed under: uncultured Bacillus sp.
Lineage: Bacteria; Bacillati; Bacillota; Bacilli; Caryophanales; Bacillaceae
Description: bacterial SSU rRNA
Rfam family: Bacterial small subunit ribosomal RNA
Source: RNAcentral